Molecule: non-coding RNA, 140 nt
Organism: Microcebus murinus (gray mouse lemur)
Lineage: Eukaryota; Metazoa; Chordata; Mammalia; Primates; Cheirogaleidae
Source: RefSeq, a predicted model, not a curated record
GCUACAACCACCCUCAUAGGACAUGGAACGACAAGAGGUAAAGGAGCUACAGCUACCUCUGGGCCAAUCUCUGGAAAGACUCUAGAACCUGGGAAUGACAACACAGAGGCCACGAGUUCCACAGGAGGGGGCUGGACCAC